AUAAUAAAAUUGAUUCACCAGUAGGAACAGUCGCUACCACUCAUCUGCUGUACAAAUUACAUACGUGGCGAAUGAAUUAAAAUAAGUAGACGAUUUCAGUUGAUUACCUCGAAUGUUUAUCGCCAAUGUGAAUACGACCUUGAAGUAAUCGUAAUUGUCGUGUGCGUGACGUUUCUGAUGUUUACCAACCUUUAUCAAGCCUAAAGAAAACUAUCGAUGCAUCGAUAAGCACAUUUUACGUUUUCCAAAAUAAUAUUUUAUAUUCAGUGACAAAUUGCUCGAGUAAUAACUACUUUUAGAUAGGAAAAUGGCGACGAAGGUCGGGGAAUCAGGAUUUAAAUCGCUUGCGAAAUAAUGCGACUUUAGCCUUCUCUGGCCGACUUUUUAGAGAUUCAAGCUUAAAGUUCGUGUACUGGCUGCAGGAAGUAAACUUAUGCUUCUUUUCUUGUUUUUACACGAUAAAAGUAGACAAUAAACACGGGUGUUGUGAAAUCCGGGACACGAUAAAAAAGCCUCGCUGGGAGUUCGAUAAACGAACCGGUCAACGCACGCAGUUUCCAAAUACUAAAUAAUAUACGGUGUUACUCAAGAACGAGCGAUUAGAAAGUACCGCAACAAAGAAAAGAAAAACAGGCUGUAUACUGCGAUAAUAUUCGUUGAGUGUCAUAUUACGCUAAGAGAUGUGUCUUUCUCAUAUUACUGUUACUGUUAUUGUUAAAAUUUACGCAAGUACGAUAGAUUAGUAAUUGUUUGUCACGUGUAUAGUCGAUUCUGUUAAUCUGCAAUUAAUUUCCUUCCUGUAUCUUAACAACAAACGCUGCUAGCACAAUCUGAAAAUACAGUUCGUUAGAUCGCUAAAGUGAUACCGGUUUCUACUGGUUUCCAGCGCACUUUAACGUCACCAAUGGUAUUCAUUGAAACGAA
This 924-nucleotide unclassified non-coding RNA is filed under the name Bombus terrestris (buff-tailed bumblebee). RNAcentral describes it as "misc RNA ENSBTSG00005032520.1". Lineage: Eukaryota; Metazoa; Arthropoda; Insecta; Hymenoptera; Apidae. The record is from RNAcentral.